CGGCUUGGUAAGUCUUUGGGAAUCCAGCGGCUUAAUCGUUGGGCGUCCAUUAGAUACUGCCUUGCUUGGGACUGGGAGAGGUAGGAGGUACUCAAGGGGUAGGAGUGAAAUCCUGUAAUCCUUUGGGGACCACCGGUGGCGAAGGCGUCCUACCAGAACAGGUCCGACGGUGAGGGACGAAAGCUAGGGGCACGAACCGGAUUAGAUGCCCGGGUAGUCCUAGCCGUAAACGAUGCUCGCUAGGUGUCACGGUAGUCGUGAACUGCCGUGGUGCCGCAGGGAAGCCGUGAAGCGAGCCACUUGGGAA
RNAcentral lists this ribosomal RNA (307 nucleotides) under uncultured archaeon. Its description in RNAcentral is "bacterial SSU rRNA". It matches the Rfam family "Archaeal small subunit ribosomal RNA", at positions 526 to 834 of the family's 1478-position model. The record is from RNAcentral.